Molecule: ribosomal RNA, 293 nt
Filed under: uncultured bacterium
Lineage: Bacteria
Description: partial 16S ribosomal RNA
Rfam family: Archaeal small subunit ribosomal RNA
Source: RNAcentral
GUGCCAGCAGCCGCGGUAACACCGGCAGCCCAAGUGAUGGCCGAUAUUAUUGGGCCUAAAGCGUCCGUAGCUGGCCGCACAAGUCCGUCGGGAAAUCCACUCGCUUAACGAGUGGGCGUCCGGCGGAAACUGUGCGGCUUGGGACCGGAAGAUCCAAGGGGUACGUCCAGGGUAGGAGUGAAAUCCUGUAAUCCUGGACGGACCGCCGAUGGCGAAAGCACGUCGGGAAGACGGAUCCGACAGUGAGGGACGAAAGCCAGGGUCUCCAACCGGAUUAGAUACCCGGGUAGUCC